GUGACCACAGCUGUCGGGGCUAACUCUGGAAUGCCGGGUGCUCGGAGGAGCCUCCCCAGCUGGGGCCAAGCAGCGUCCAAGCAGAGGAGGAAACAGAUUCAGAUGGCAAAGGCAGAAAACGGGACGUGCUACUUUACCAGCACAUCACUGGGGGUAGGAGAUGAGGUCAGAGAACUCGCCAGGCCCAGAUCACCCAGCGCCUGAGUGGCUGGAGGUUAAGUGAGUUGGGUUUUUACAGGGUCCCUCUGUGUGGGUGUGGGGGGAAAGCUGAGAGGCCGAGGAGCAGGCAGAUGUGGUCAUCCAGGUAGGUUUGCCAGACUUAGCAAAGAAAAAUACAGGAUGCAUGCACUACUCGGGACAUACCUAACUAAAGAAUUAUUUGUUGUUUAUCUGAAAUUCCAACUUAAAACACUGGGUAUCCUGUAUUUUAGCUAGCAACCCAGGUGGCAGGUGGAAGAUGGAGAUUCACGAUUGCUUCUGGAAGACUCGCUGUGUGAUUCCGCCCACCCCAUGGCCAUUCCCUCCUCCUGAGAUGUUCAGAGCAGGAUUCCUACCUAGUGCCCCGCCAAACAUGGCCCACACCCCAAGUCACCCUGGACCACACCCGCCCCUCCGUCAUUUCCUACAGGCUUUUCCUGCAGAUUGAGAGAGGAAACUGGGCAGGGAGCACACCACUGAUGGGUGAAAUGAUGAUCUCACAGGAAACCAGACAAGCUAGAGUUGUCACCACACCCUGGACUCAGAGAACUUGGGUACUUCACCGACGGCCACCUCCCAUCGCCCUUUCAUUCUUCAUGGGCAGGGCCUUGCAAGCCUUGGUGAUGGAUUUUAUUCCAUGAGAUGGGGCAGCUGUUGCAGGAACACGAUUUGAGUUGUUUUUUGAAAGAUUGCUCUGGCUACUGUGCAGAGUGGCUUCUCAGGGUGCACACGGGGGAGAUGUCGUAGGACAACUGGGUGUUGGAUCUGGAGCUCAGGGAGAACAACCCUCAGAGGAGAUGGCCCCUGGCUGAGCCUGGAGAUACCACCAUUCCAGAGAAGAGCAGAGGGCCAGGAGAAGGGGCGUGUGGCUGUGUGGUUGACAUCUCGAUGACAUGUGCUGUGUGUGUCCCUCACAGACUUGGGAUCUUUCUGGGAGGCAAACACAGGCCUUGGGGAAUGUUCUGGGAUGGGCGAUGUCAGCCUCAGUGUGUUUGCUCAGCUGCUGGGCUCUCUUGGGACCAUAGAGGACUGCAGCACCAAUGGUGGAACUCCAGGCGUGGUGACAGGAUGUGACCAGGUUCCCCCACCCAGGUCUGUGGUCAGCCUGGCUGUGCUGAAUGGUGGAAGCAGGGGUGAGGCCCCGAGAGGUGUCUGGAGCCAUCUGGCCGUGAGGUCAGCCACCCAGCCAGGCCUCUGGAAGCCAUGGGCAGCCACUUCCCAGAUGCGGCUUCCUGCCCUUUCCUCCACCAAAACCACACUCAGCUCAUAGGCUGGCCUCAGGGGCAGUCCCUUUCCCACGGGGAGGGCCGCAUGCAAAUGCCACACUGAGCUGAGCCAAGGCAGGGGUCAAUUCUGAAGGCCUGGAUCCUCCAUGUCCUAUGGGCAGGUCAACCACAACAAAGCCCAGCCUGCCCAUCAAGCCCCACUGCUUUCCACUGCUUUGGUGCCUUCGCCUCUCUGGGUGAACCCUGCUCACCCUGAGCCCCUGCAUGUAAGGCACUUUUAGAUGCAAUCAUCCCCUGCGAUUUUCCUGAUACAGGGAGAAGAAGGCAGGUGGCCCUGGCCACUGUGUGUGCUGACGCAGAGCGAACAGGCAGCAGCACUGGAGGGAGGGAGGAGUGUGUGUGUGGCUGUGCGUCCUGUGUGUGGAUUUUUGUGUGCAAGUCCCGUGUGUGUACCUAGCAUGUAUGUCCCAGUAGCUUGUGUGUACCUGUGCCCUGGGUGUGUGCUUGUGCAAAUC
RNAcentral lists this long non-coding RNA (1939 nucleotides) under Homo sapiens (human). Its description in RNAcentral is "HSALNT0388918". The record is from RNAcentral. Lineage: Eukaryota; Metazoa; Chordata; Mammalia; Primates; Hominidae.